AAAGAAACUAACAAGGAUUCCCCUAGUAACGGCGAGUGAAGCGGGAAGAGCACAAAUUUAAAAUCUACCUGGUUUCCAGGUCGAGUUGUAAUUUGAAGAUACGUUUUUGACGUUCYGGGUUGGACUAAAUCCUUUGGGAUAAGGUAUCAUAGAGGGUGAGAAUCCCGUAUAUACCAACCGUAGGGAUGUUAUUAAAUACGUUUCUAAGAGUCGAGUUGUUUGGGAAUGCAGCUCUAAAUGGGUGGUAAAUUUCACCUAAUGCUAAAUAUAAGCGAGAGACCGAUAGCGAACAAGUACAGUGAUGGAAAGAUGAAAAGAACUUUGAAAAGAGAGUUAAAUAGUACGUGAAAUUGUUGAAAGGGAAACGAUUGAAGUCAGUCAUGCCAGUGGGAAUCAACUUAGGGGAAACUCUGGGUGCACUUCUUCGCUUGGCAGGUCAACGUCGAUUUUGRAUGUCAUAAAAUAAUUGGGGGAAGGUAGCUCCUUCGGGAGUGUUAUAGCCCUUGRUAGAUGUGAUGUUUGGGGUCGAGGAUUGCAACGGAUACCCUUYGGGGCUAGCCGCCUGAUCUCUAAUUGGUGUUGGGUUACGGAUAGCAUGCUGACCGUGAUCUAAUUACUGGUUAAAAGGUUA
RNAcentral lists this ribosomal RNA (631 nucleotides) under Gigaspora margarita. RNAcentral describes it as "eukaryotic LSU rRNA". It matches the Rfam family "Eukaryotic large subunit ribosomal RNA", at positions 58 to 615 of the family's 3401-position model. The record is from RNAcentral. Lineage: Eukaryota; Fungi; Glomeromycota; Glomeromycetes; Diversisporales; Gigasporaceae.